AUCACGUGGGCAUCUUGUUAGAAUAUAGAUUCUGAUUCAGUUAGUGUGGGGUGGGCCUGAGAUUCUGUAUUUCUAACAAGCUCCCAGGGGAGGCCACU
Molecule: microRNA precursor, 98 nt
Organism: Loxodonta africana (African savanna elephant)
Lineage: Eukaryota; Metazoa; Chordata; Mammalia; Proboscidea; Elephantidae
Source: Ensembl